Long non-coding RNA from Trichoplusia ni (cabbage looper), 202 nucleotides. RefSeq lists it as uncharacterized. The transcript is spliced from 2 exons. Lineage: Eukaryota; Metazoa; Arthropoda; Insecta; Lepidoptera; Noctuidae. The record is from RefSeq and is a predicted model, not a curated record.
UUUGUCAUUUGCGCGGGCCGUUGCGCAGUGUGGUGCAGUGUUGUUUUUUGCGGAUUUCACAAAUUUGUCUGAGAAUGUCAGCUUGGCGUCCAAGUUACGAGGCUCCUCAAGACUUCAUCGCCCUUCUCCAUAACAGCAAAGACGAAUUAUUGUUUUUUGUACACAUCUGAACAACUUAAUUAUAAAUUGUCAAUAAAAAUGC